GCCUGGGUGGCUCAGUGGUUGAGCGUCUGCCUUUGGCUCAGGUCGUGAUCCCAGGGUUCUGGGAUCGAGUCCCACAUCAGGCU
Molecule: transfer RNA, 83 nt
Filed under: Canis lupus familiaris (dog)
Lineage: Eukaryota; Metazoa; Chordata; Mammalia; Carnivora; Canidae
Also listed under: 1 other name
Rfam family: tRNA
About the family: Transfer RNA (tRNA) molecules are approximately 80 nucleotides in length. Their secondary structure includes four short double-helical elements and three loops (D, anti-codon, and T loops).
Source: Rfam by way of RNAcentral